AGUGAACGCUGGCGGUAGGCCUAACACAUGCAAGUCGAACGGCAGCACAGUAAGAGCUUGCUCUUACGGGUGGCGAGUGGCGGACGGGUGAGGAAUACAUCGGAAUCUACUUUUUCGUGGGGGAUAACGUAGGGAAACUUACGCUAAUACCGCAUACGACCUACGGGUGAAAGCAGGGGAUCUUCUGACCUUGCGCGAUUGAAUGAGCCGAUGUCGGAUUAGCUAGUUGGCGGGGUAAAGGCCCACCAAGGCGACGAUCCGUAGCGGGUCUGAGAGGAGGACCAGCCACAUGGGACCUGAGAAAGGAUACAGACGCUUAGGGGAGGCACAAGUGGGAAAUAUGGGACAAGGGGGGCAAUCCUGAUCCAGCCGUGCCGCGUGGGUGAAGAAGGCCUUCGGGUGGUAAAGCCCUUUUGUUGGGAAAGAAAAGCAGCAGGUUAAAACCCCGCUGUUCUGACGGUACCCAAAGAAUAAGCACCGGCUAACUUCGU
This 491-nucleotide ribosomal RNA is filed under the name uncultured bacterium. RNAcentral describes it as "partial 16S ribosomal RNA". It matches the Rfam family "Bacterial small subunit ribosomal RNA", at positions 29 to 506 of the family's 1533-position model. The record is from RNAcentral.